AUAUAUAUAUUCUAUUCCAUACUACACUAUACUUUAAUUAAUUACAUUAAACAUGAUUUUAGAUAGACCAGGUCCGUUUCUAAACUUCUUCAAGCUCUCAUUAGUGUAAAGCAUAUUUCUGAGUUGGUGUCCUAUACUGCUGUCCCACUUUAUCCUUGAGUAAAUAUCCAAGCUAAUUUAGGUCUCAAUACAAUUUUUUACUUCCUAAAAGACCAAAUGAUGUCUAAAAAUGUAUCCUCGUGUCUCUGACAUUUACACAGAUUCAAUGUAACUAAAUAAUAAAUAAAUGCAACACCAAUGUUAAGAUGUUUACUAACAUGAGGACUUUUUUAUUUGCUUUUUAGAGAAAAGCUGUCAGUUGGUGAGUGUAGCUGGUGCAUAGAAGUCAGGAGAGCAGAGAGAGAGCAGAGAUGAGUGGACAAAGCCCUUUACUAAGGCAAUCAUUUGCACAGAACGCAACCUCAUUACAAAACAAAUGUCCAACGAACAAGCGAGGCAGCACAAAGUACAAAACCCAAGUACAAAGUACCGGCUGCCACAAAGCACGGGUAAUAAAACAAAACCUGGCACAAACCAGCAGGAAGUGUGCCAAUCUUGACAAUAAACAAUUCCCCACACAGACAUGGGGGGGGGGACAGAGGGUUAAAUACACGACAAGUAAUGAGGGAAAUGUAAACCAGGUGUGUGGGAAAACAAGACAAAACAAAUGGAAAAUUAAAUGUGGAUCGGCGAUGGCUAGACGACCGGUGACGUCGACCGCCGAACGCCGCCUGAACAAGGAGAGGAAGCGACUUCGGCGGAAGUCGUGACAAAAGCAGUGAGAAUGCUGAUGAACAGAAGUCUCUAAGGAUUUACUUGACCUGUUAAUCUUACAUUCAGUUAAUAAAUUAUUUCAGUGAAAAGUUAUGUUGAUUGUUGAAAAGUUAUGUUGAUUGUUUUAAGUGAUGAUUUGUCUUCAGUGAUGAUUUGGCCCUGAGUGAAUCCUUAGCAUGUAGGCAGGGGCCUUAGGAAACAAGGUACAAGCAGGUUUCCUGUAGACUGACCUUAAUCAAUAACCUCAGCUUUAGGAUUUUUUGUUUAAGUGGAACUGGAGAUAACAGAGCUGGACCUGGCUAGAUCUGAACAUUGCACCAUAAUGUUUAUGAUUCAGUACAAUUGAUGUUAUUCAUUAAGAGAAUUGCCAUUUAGUACUUAAAGGGUCCAGAGUUCCAGUGGUGUUGUGGGACUUUGACUGUGAACUCAGGAUGUUGUCUAAACAAAUAUUGACUCAAUUUGGAGAAAACAUCUAAAACUUAGGUAGCAUAUGAGAAAUAUUGAUAAAGGUGAUAUAAUAUUUGUUCAUGCAGUAAAAUUAUUCAAAUUGAUUUGCCCAUUAUGUGUGAUCUCCAGUGUCAGCAAGGUUAAAGACCUUUACGAAAUACUGUAAUUAUACCAAUACAUGACAGAGAGAAAAAAUGACGUGACUGGGACAUCCAACCUCAGGAAUGGCCCCAAUGUCAUGUCAGGUAGGCCUUUGUUUGUUUUUGUGGCUCGAGUUAUGCCUGCUGGUAACUGGGGGGAACUGUUAUCUUACUGAUCCUUCCUCACUUCCUGACCCUUCCUCUCUGGUUAUCAUCCUCCUCAUUCAGGUGGAACUCGAUGUCCUACUAGAAUGCAGCUUCGUUCUUCACACGGCGGAUUGUGCCUUCUGUGAGAUGUUGGUCAUCGACCCCCAGGGAGAGGCUGUGUAUAGACAGGCUGCAGGAGCGGAGGCCUUCCAGACUGCAAUGGAGAAGAGAAUGAGCAGCACAGCUGUGUAUGGGGACAUCUUUGUGUACAGUCCAGUCCUGACUUCCAAUGGGUCAGAGAUAUGCUCAUUUUGGCCCAAUACAAACAAAGCAAAGACAUUAUGUACGCUCUGGCAAACACUGUCAGGAAGUUUCACCCAGGACAUCCCACCCCUGAGGUCAAAUAGGUGAAAGAGUUCAUGGAUACCAUGUUGGGAGACUGCUCAAGGGAUGAGGAUAUGACUUUCCUGAUACUAAGGGUCAGAAAAACUCUCUUGGAGGGAUACCAAGAUGCUGAGAGCCCCAUCCAGAAACGUGUGGCAGCUUAUCUGGUGCUUAUGAAGAGUCCUGACAAUGUGCUGUUUAGCAAGGUGAUCACCGUGCUGAAGGACGAGCAGGACCCACAGGUCAGGAGCUUUGUGGCCUGCCGCCUUGACAACAUCUGCCACUUUGUUGAUCCCAAAAUGCAACAGUAAGUGACGGUUUUCUACAUGAUAUGUUCAGUCACUCCCUCUUCAUUUACAUGAUUCAUUUAUCACAGUGGUGGAAGGUGUUGAUGUUUUCUGUAUCUCCUACUGUAUAUGUAUUUGACACCUGGCUAAGGAAAUCAUCUUCAUUGAGUUUCUAUUUUUCACAGUUGCAUAAAGUACUUUAGUAAAAAAUAUUUAAAGUACUAGUUAAGUCGUUUUUUGGGGUAUCUGUACUUAACUAUUUAUAUUUUUGACAACUUUUACUUUUACUUCACUACAUUCCUAUAAAAAAUAAUUUCCUUUUUACUCCAUACAUUUUCAC
Long non-coding RNA from Oncorhynchus gorbuscha (pink salmon), 2558 nucleotides. RefSeq lists it as uncharacterized. The record is from RefSeq and is a predicted model, not a curated record. NCBI's taxonomy places the organism in Eukaryota, Metazoa, Chordata, Actinopteri, Salmoniformes, Salmonidae. The transcript is spliced from 4 exons.